CCUACGGGUGGCAGCAGUGGGGAAUAUUGCACAAUGGGGGAAACCCUGAAGCAGCGACGCCGCGUGAGGGAAGAAGGAUUUCGGUAUGUAAAGCCCUUUCAGCAGGGAAGAAAUAGCGACCAUUGGGUGGCCAGACGGUAGCUGACUAAGAAGCACCGGCUAACGACGUGCUAGCAGCAGGGGUAAUACGGAGGGGGCAGGCGUUGUAAGGAUUUUUUGGGGGUUAAGGGAGCGUAGGGGGCAGCACAAGUCUGAAGGGAAAUGCCAGGGGUUAACCCCGGAACUGCGUUGGAAACUGGGGUGCUAGAGUGGGGGAGAGGUAGGUGGAAUGCGUGGUGUAGCGGUGAAAUGCGUAGAUAUCAGGAGGAACAC
Molecule: ribosomal RNA, 372 nt
Filed under: uncultured bacterium
Lineage: Bacteria
Description: partial 16S ribosomal RNA
Rfam family: Bacterial small subunit ribosomal RNA
Source: RNAcentral